This 480-nucleotide ribosomal RNA is filed under the name uncultured bacterium. RNAcentral describes it as "partial 16S ribosomal RNA". It matches the Rfam family "Bacterial small subunit ribosomal RNA", at positions 28 to 507 of the family's 1533-position model. The record is from RNAcentral.
GACGAACGCUGGCGGCGUGCUUAACACAUGCAAGUCGAGCGAUGAACCUUUCAUAGCACUCUUCGGGGCGUAUAUACAGUGGAUUAGCGGCGGACGGGUUCGUAACACGUGAGUAACCUGCCUUAGACAUUGCGCUAGCCUCUGGACACCAGGAUUAAUACCACUUAAAAUCAUAAUGUCACAUGUCAUACCGAUCUAUAGUCCGGUGGUCUAAGCUGGCCUCGCGUCGCAUUAGCUAGUUGGUAGUGGAAAAGCCUACCAAGGCGACGUAGGGUAGCCGGACUGAGAGACUGAGCGGCGACAUUGGAACUGAGAAGCGGUAGAAACUCCUACGAGAGGCAGCAGUGGGGAAUAUUGCACAAUGGAGGGAGCUCUGAUGCAGCGACGCCGCGUGAACUAAGAAGGUUUUCGAGUCGUAAAGGUCUUUUAGAUGGGAAGAUAAUGACGGUACCAGAAGAAAAAGCCCCGGCUAACUACGUG